RNAcentral lists this ribosomal RNA (362 nucleotides) under uncultured bacterium. Its description in RNAcentral is "bacterial SSU rRNA". It matches the Rfam family "Bacterial small subunit ribosomal RNA", at positions 30 to 391 of the family's 1533-position model. The record is from RNAcentral.
AUUGAACGCUGGCGGCAUGCCUUACACAUGCAAGUCGAACGGCAGCGGACCUUCGGGUGCCGGCGAGUGGCGAACGGGUGAGUAAUAUAUCGGAACGUACCUUUCAGUGGGGGAGUAACGUAGCGAAAGUUACGCUAAUACCGCAUAUUCUGUGAGCAGGAAAGCAGGGGAGUCGCAAGACCUUGCGCUGAUUGAGCGGCCGAUAUCAGAUUAGCUAGUUGGUGAGGUAAAGGCUCACCAAGGCGACGAUCUGUAGCGGGUCUGAGAGGAUGAUCCGCCACACUGGGACUGAGACACGGCCCAGACUCCUACGGGAGGCAGCAGUAAGGAAUAUUGGUCAAUGGACGAAAGUACUGAACCAG